AAGUCCCGCAACGAGCGCAACCCUCGUCCUUAGUUGCCAUCAUUCAAGUUGGGCACUCUAAGGAAACUCCCGGUGAUAACCCGGAGGAAGGUGGGGAUGACGUCAAGUCCUCAUGGCCCUUACACGCUGGGCUACACACGUGCUACAAUGGCGGUGACAGUGGGCAGCAACCGGGCGACCGGUAGCUAAUCUCCAAAAACCGUCUCAGUUCGGAUUGUUCUCUGCAACUCGAGAGCAUGAAGGCGGAAUCGCUAGUAAUCGCGGAUCAGCAUGCCGCGGUGAAUACGUUCCCAGGCCUUGUACACACCGCCCGUCACACCAUGGGAGU
Molecule: ribosomal RNA, 328 nt
Filed under: uncultured Alphaproteobacteria bacterium
Lineage: Bacteria; Pseudomonadati; Pseudomonadota; Alphaproteobacteria
Description: bacterial SSU rRNA
Rfam family: Bacterial small subunit ribosomal RNA
Source: RNAcentral